UUUUACCAGAAGUGGCUAGUCUAACCGCAAGGAGGACGGUCACCACGGUAGGAUUCAUGACUGGGGUGAAGUCGUAACAAGGUAGCCGUAUCGGAAGGUGCGGCUGGAUCACCUCCUUU
Molecule: ribosomal RNA, 119 nt
Filed under: Burkholderia cepacia
Lineage: Bacteria; Pseudomonadati; Pseudomonadota; Betaproteobacteria; Burkholderiales; Burkholderiaceae
Also listed under: 14 other names
Description: partial 16S ribosomal RNA
Rfam family: Bacterial small subunit ribosomal RNA
Source: RNAcentral